GACGAACGCUGGCGGCGUGCUUAACACAUGCAAGUCGAACGGAAAGGCCCUGCUUUUGUGGGGUGCUCGAGUGGCGAACGGGUGAGUAACACGUGAGUAACCUGCCCUUGACUUUGGGAUAACUUCAGGAAACUGGGGCUAAUACCGGAUAGGAGCUCCUGCUGCAUGGUGGGGGUUGGAAAGUUUCGGCGGUUGGGGAUGGACUCGCGGCUUAUCAGCUUGUUGGUGGGGUAGUGGCUUACCAAGGCUUUGACGGGUAGCCGGCCUGAGAGGGUGACCGGCCACAUUGGGACUGAGAUAGGGCCCAGACUCCUACGGGAGGCAGCAGGGGAGAAUAUUACACAAUGGGCGGAAGCCUGAUGCAGCAACGCCGCGUGCGGGAUGACGGCCUUCGGGUUGUAAACCGCUUUCGCCUGUGACGAAGCGUGAGUGACGGUAAUGGGUAAAGAAGCACCGGCUAACUACGUG
RNAcentral lists this ribosomal RNA (468 nucleotides) under uncultured bacterium. RNAcentral describes it as "partial 16S ribosomal RNA". It matches the Rfam family "Bacterial small subunit ribosomal RNA", at positions 28 to 507 of the family's 1533-position model. The record is from RNAcentral.